AUUGAACGCUGGCGGCAUGCUUUACACAUGCAAGUCGAACGGCAGCGCGGGCUUCGGCCUGGCGGCGAGUGGCGAACGGGUGAGUAAUGCAUCGGAACGUGCCCACUAGUGGGGGAUAGCCCGGCGAAAGCCGGAUUAAUACCGCAUACGACCUGAGGUUGAAAGCGGGGGACCGAAAGACCUCGCGCUAUUGUAGCGGCCGAUGUCGGAUUAGCUAGUUGGUGGGGUAAAGGCUUACCAAGGCGACGAUCCGUAGCUGGUCUGAGAGGACGACCAGCCACACUGGGACUGAGACACGGCCCAGACUCCUCCGGGGGGCAGCAGUGGGGAAUUUUGGACAAUGGGGGCAGUCCUGAUCCAGCCAUGCCGCGUGCGGGAAGAAGGCUUUCGGGUUUUAAACCGCUUUUGUUCGGGAAGAAGUCCUCUGGGCUAAUACCCCGGGGGGAUGACGGUACCGUAAGAAUAAGCACCGGCUAACUACGUG
RNAcentral lists this ribosomal RNA (484 nucleotides) under uncultured bacterium. Its description in RNAcentral is "partial 16S ribosomal RNA". It matches the Rfam family "Bacterial small subunit ribosomal RNA", at positions 28 to 507 of the family's 1533-position model. The record is from RNAcentral.